RNAcentral lists this ribosomal RNA (892 nucleotides) under Rhytidhysteron tectonae. RNAcentral's name for it is "partial large subunit ribosomal RNA". It matches the Rfam family "Eukaryotic large subunit ribosomal RNA", at positions 34 to 946 of the family's 3401-position model. Lineage: Eukaryota; Fungi; Ascomycota; Dothideomycetes; Hysteriales; Hysteriaceae. The record is from RNAcentral.
CUAGCAUAUCAAUAAGCGGAGGAAAAGAAACCAACAGGGAUUGCCUUAGUAACGGCGAGUGAAGCGGCAACAGCUCAAAUUUGAAAUCUGGCUCCCUUGGGGGCCCGAGUUGUAAUUUGUAGAGGAUGCUUCGGCGUGGGCCCCGGUCUAAGUUCCUUGGAACAGGACGUCACAGAGGGUGAGAAUCCCGUACGUGGCCGUGGGUGCUCGCCAUGUGAAGCUCCUUCGACGAGUCGAGUUGUUUGGGAAUGCAGCUCUAAAUGGGAGGUAAAUUUCUUCUAAAGCUAAAUACUGGCCAGAGACCGAUAGCGCACAAGUAGAGUGAUCGAAAGAUGAAAAGCACUUUGGAAAGAGAGUCAAAAAGUACGUGAAAUUGUUGAAAGGGAAGCGCUUGCAACCAGACCUGCCUGCGGUUGCUCAUCCGGGCUCUUGCCCGGUGCACUCUUCCGCAGUCAGGCCAGCAUCAGCUCUGGCGGUCGGAUAAAGGCGGCGGGAAUGUGGCUCCCCUCGGGGAGUGUUAUAGCCCGCCGUGCAAUGCGGCCAGCCGGGACUGAGGUCCGCGCUUCGGCUAGGAUGCUGGCGUAAUGGUUGUAAGCGGCCCGUCUUGAAACACGGACCAAGGAGUCUAACAUCUGUGCGAGUGUUUGGGUGUCAAGCCCAGGCGCGUAAUGAAAGUGAACGGAGGCGGGAACCUUCGGGUGCACCGUCGACCGAUCCUGAUGUCUUCGGAUGGAUUUGAGUAAGAGCAUAGCUGUUGGGACCCGAAAGAUGGUGAACUAUGCCUGAAUAGGGUGAAGCCAGAGGAAACUCUGGUGGAGGCUCGCAGCGGUUCUGACGUGCAAAUCGAUCGUCAAAUUUGGGCAUAGGGGCGAAAGACUAAUCGAACUAUCUA